GGCAUUGACUAUGAGACUUGUACUGCAAAAAAUGAAGGUGGUUCCACGAGAAGCUGAGAAACUGAACGUAAAUAAUGCUGGGUUUUUGGCACAGAAGCGUCUUGCUCGCGGAUUGAGGCUCAAUCACCCUGAAGCUGCAGAGCUCUCAUAGCCACACAGAUUUUGGAGUUCGUUCUAAAUGGCGAUAAAUCUGUGGCGGAAUUGAUGGACAUUGGGAGGCAACUGUUGGGUAGGUAAUGGUGUGAACUGUGAAAUUUUAUCAUUUGCCCUGUUUUUGUAGAUGGAAUGUUAAUUCUGGAUUCUGAUUGUUGAAUAGUAUCUGGGUUGCCUUCCUUUUUACCCAAUCAACCAAUCUUGUAUCCCUAAUUUCGCCUGGUUGCUCAAGAUUGAUCAGCACAGUACUUUUUCAAACAGGAAACAAGUUCUUCCCGGUGUUCAAUAUCUUUUGGAUAUGGUGCAGGUAUUAUGCUCAUUGAGGUUGUUUGCAUUUGCUUCGAAAAGCCUUAAACAUAACGAUUGCUGCUGAAAACUUCUCAUAACCCUGACAUAACAUGCUGCCUAAAAUCAUUUUUCUCGAGUAAGAUAUAAAUGCAGGUCAAAGGGACUUUUCCUGAUGGGAACAAGUUAAUCGCCAUUCACCAUUCACGAUCCAAUUUCUAGGGAUAACGGAAAUUUGGAACUAGCUUUGAAGGAUUCUUUUCUUCCUGUACCCUCACUAGACAAGUUUCCUGAAAUGGAAGAUGGUGAAAUUCCCGGUGCAAUUAUCUAUGGAUGGUACUGUUGUGCUUAUUCAUGGAAGGAAUGUUGGCGUGAGUCAACCUUGGGUUUAAGGAAUAUGGAUAUAUUUUGGGUAUGAAAUCAUGUAAUCGAUGUCCUCAUAUAUUUGGGAUUCUUAUUUCCUAUUUCAUAGGAGCUUGCAGCAGUAUGUAUAAUCCUCUACAUGAGAAGAAUAAAGUAAUACACUUUAAGGUUUGUGUUUGUCAAGCAUAAUGAAAA
Non-coding RNA from Malus domestica (apple), 996 nucleotides. Lineage: Eukaryota; Viridiplantae; Streptophyta; Magnoliopsida; Rosales; Rosaceae. The record is from RefSeq and is a predicted model, not a curated record.